GAUGAACGCUGGCGGCGUGCCUAACACAUGCAAGUCGAACGGAGCAUAGAGGAAAGCGGCUUCGGCCAAUGGAAUCUAUCGCUUAGUGGCGGACGGGUGAGUAACGCGUGAGCAAUCUGCCUUUCAGAGGGGGACAACACCGGGAAACUGGUGCUAAUACCGCAUAAUGUAUUUUAAUCGCAUGAUUUAAAUACCAAAGGAGCAAUCCGCUGAAAGAUGAGCUCGCGUCUGAUUAGCUAGUUGGUGGGUAAUGGCCUACCAAGGCAACGAUCAGUAGCCGGACUGAGAGGUUGAACGGGCCACAAUUGGGACUGAGAUACGGCCCAGACUCCUACGGAGGCAGCAGUGGGGAA
This 353-nucleotide ribosomal RNA is filed under the name uncultured bacterium. RNAcentral's name for it is "bacterial SSU rRNA". It matches the Rfam family "Bacterial small subunit ribosomal RNA", at positions 28 to 361 of the family's 1533-position model. The record is from RNAcentral.